This 749-nucleotide ribosomal RNA is filed under the name Klebsiella pneumoniae. RNAcentral describes it as "bacterial SSU rRNA". It matches the Rfam family "Bacterial small subunit ribosomal RNA", at positions 771 to 1520 of the family's 1533-position model. The record is from RNAcentral. Lineage: Bacteria; Pseudomonadati; Pseudomonadota; Gammaproteobacteria; Enterobacterales; Enterobacteriaceae.
AACAGGAUUAGAUACCCUGGUAGUCCACGCCGUAAACGAUGUCGAUUUGGAGGUUGUGCCCUUGAGGCGUGGCUUCCGGAGCUAACGCGUUAAAUCGACCGCCUGGGGAGUACGGCCGCAAGGUUAAAACUCAAAUGAAUUGACGGGGGCCCGCACAAGCGGUGGAGCAUGUGGUUUAAUUCGAUGCAACGCGAAGAACCUUACCUGGUCUUGACAUCCACAGAACUUAGCAGAGAUGCUUUGGUGCCUUCGGGAACUGUGAGACAGGUGCUGCAUGGCUGUCGUCAGCUCGUGUUGUGAAAUGUUGGGUUAAGUCCCGCAACGAGCGCAACCCUUAUCCUUUGUUGCCAGCGGUUCGGCCGGGAACUCAAAGGAGACUGCCAGUGAUAAACUGGAGGAAGGUGGGGAUGACGUCAAGUCAUCAUGGCCCUUACGACCAGGGCUACACACGUGCUACAAUGGCAUAUACAAAGAGAAGCGACCUCGCGAGAGCAAGCGGACCUCAUAAAGUAUGUCGUAGUCCGGAUUGGAGUCUGCAACUCGACUCCAUGAAGUCGGAAUCGCUAGUAAUCGUAGAUCAGAAUGCUACGGUGAAUACGUUCCCGGGCCUUGUACACACCGCCCGUCACACCAUGGGAGUGGGUUGCAAAAGAAGUAGGUAGCUUAACCUUCGGGAGGGCGCUUACCACUUUGUGAUUCAUGACUGGGGUGAAGUCGUAACAAGGUAACCGUAGGGGAACCUGCGGUUG